UUGACAGCCCUGGAGAAUAAAGUCCUUUAUUUACCAACUAUACAGGUACAGCUUGGGCAGCAGUAGCAUAGCAAGUUUCCACCUGCCUGUACCCUGCGUGGUUCAAAGCUAACCCAAAGGGGCAUGUCUCUAAAUGGUUAGAUGGUAGUUUUAUUUUUAUGGCCCUUUUAGUCUUGAUUCCU
This 182-nucleotide small RNA is filed under the name Sphenodon punctatus (tuatara). RNAcentral's name for it is "TUC338 (ENSSPUG00000002564.1)". The record is from RNAcentral. Lineage: Eukaryota; Metazoa; Chordata; Lepidosauria; Sphenodontia; Sphenodontidae.